This is a long non-coding RNA of Equus caballus (horse), 3346 nucleotides long. RefSeq lists it as uncharacterized. The record is from RefSeq and is a predicted model, not a curated record. Lineage: Eukaryota; Metazoa; Chordata; Mammalia; Perissodactyla; Equidae.
UCCAGGCUCCACCACCCCCUCACAAGUCCCAAGGAAGCCAUGAGCUGCCACAUCACACCAGGAACGAAGCAGGCUACAUUGGAGGGACCCCCACCCUCGAGUGGAUGGAGGCAGAGGCCCUGAAAGAAGGAAGGACUCCUCGAGGCCCCUCGGCGGACAAGUCACAGAGCAAAGAUGCCCGCUCUGGGCUCCGGAUGUCCAGCAGCCGUCUGCAACUUUGAAGUGAUUGGAGUUCCUGUGGCUGCUGUGGGCAGACGGAGGGACUCCAGAAGCCCCGGCAGACUUGAUCAGUGCAGAGCCUGAGUCUCCUUGCAACCCCAACCCCCCUCCACCUUUGAAUGAGCUCUGAAGAAAAGUGAAAGGGAGUGGGGAGAAACCCAAGCCAUCACCCUGUCAGCAGGGGAGCAUGUGAUGCGUCCUGACUUGUGCUCACUGCUGAGGAAGACACUAGAAGGUGUCAUUCCUACCCUCCCAAAUAUUGCAAUCUAAUUGGGAGGGCAAGAUGAAUAGGCAGAGGACAACAAAAGAUAAGUGAAGAGGCCCAGUGUAGGACCAGGAGCACUGGAUAAGAGUUCUAUUCCAGUGCCUUGGGGUCUGAAGCAGGUCCCCACACCUAGAAAAGCCCAGCUACCUCAUCCAUAUAGAUUUCUUCUAGUUGUCUGGAUGAUGGAUGGCAGUAGCACUUCUGAUGGAUUGGUGCUGCCUGCCCGAAGCACUGUGUUGAAAAGGAUUCUGAGGCAGCAUUCAGGCUCAGCAAAAGGGCUCUGGUUAAUUAGUGGUCUUCUGAUGAAUGCUAAAGGAUGCUGCGGCACUAUCAUUGCUAUUAUUAACCAUUCCUGAUUAAGAGCAACUGCCUGGGGUCAUUUGUAAGGAUUCUCCCAGCUCUCAAAUCUAUGCUUCUGUGAUUUAAAUGUUAAAUUUCAAGGCACUGGUUGGAAGCUCAAUCAGAAGAGGAAGAGAUGUGUGUGGGUUCGGAUCAUCAGGGAAGACUUUGGGAAGGAGGCGGCACUUGAGCUGGGCCUCCAAGUGGGGGAGUGUGAGGAGCUGAACAGGAGGUGGGAGGACAUUUAUGUGCGUGACAGUGGGGCUGAGCAUGGGCUGUUCUUGGUACAGGAAGGAGGAGGCCAGCCUUGCUGGAAUGCACUGUCUUUGUUUGGGGCAGAUAAGAUUAGAUAUGUGAGGCAGGUCACGUAUAAAAACAAGAGUUAACGUUUACUGGGGCUUACUGUGGUAACCCAAGGGACAAAGAUGACUUUCCACGCAUUAUCUCAUUUGGUCCUCAGAACACACCCUCAAGCUAAGUCCCAUUACUAGCUUUCUUUUACAGGAAUGGAACCACAAUCAGAGACAGGAAGUGACUUGCUCAGGGUCAUACAGCUAGUCCGUAGUAGAGUUGAGUUUUCAGCCCAGGCAAUACGGUUCUGAUGCUUGCAGGUGUAAUGUCUCUGCUCUGUUGCCUCCUCUCUUAAAAACAUUGAGGGAGCCUGACAAUGCAGUUGAGACAUCAGGGCUGAUUCUCUGAGGUCCAGAAAGAGGGCAGGAACAGCUGCAUCCUGAGAAGGAAGAUCUGCCCUAGGAGAUCACCGAGCAAAUCCAAGCCAAACACAAGGCAGUGUAGACACAGAGCACAGUAAGCGCCAAAUGCCAUGGGUCAGGGCUCCUGGAGACCUUCCCCAGGCCCUAAAUAAUCUACUGCAUUAUGUCCUAAAACUUCAGAUAAGGCAGAAGCACGUGACAUUCCAGGGAGUCGGGGCUCAGCAUGUGAGGGUAGCAACAGAUCUUCCGCCGGUCAUACCUCAAGCUCAGGAACAGAAGAUGGCGGCCUGAAUGCAGACCUCUUUCAGAGACCUCAGCGUCACCCUGCCUCCACAGGGCUGCAGCCUGCCUGGCACCUGGGGGUGUGCUGGGGAACCUCUGUCCCUUCUUCUUUUCCUGGUGCUCUCUCAUUCGUUCCUUCCCUUGCAGGUUCAGGGCAGCCCCAGCUUCUCCCCAGCUUAGACAAUUAGUUCAAUGGGGACCCAGAAGGAAGGCCCUGGUGUGCAUCUCCCCACUGCAGGCCCCUGAGCAGAGGAGGGUGUCUCCUUCCUCCUCACCACCAGGACCACUCGUCCCCAUCCAGCUGACAGCACCGGCCUUGCAGGCAUGGCUCAGAGAUCUGGGAUCAAUGUGAAACCAGCCUGGGAACUCCUUCUCUGCCCCUGGGCCCAGCUGUUUUUCUCAAUUAGUCUCCCUCCAUCUUAGGACCUCCUUAAGGUCCUUCCUUCUGGCUUCUCCAUCUGGCUUCAGGGAGGCCUCUGGCCCCCACGGAACUUCCUAGCAUAGAGGAAGAGCCAGAGCUAUAACGAUGGGCUGGAGGCUCCUGGAAACCACAAGUUUCUUCUAUUCUACCACCCUCUCUGCUCAGCUCUAACUCUUGUCCAGGAUAUGCUCAUCGAAUAAGGCCUGAUUUUGUAAUUCUCUUUCCAGAAUUUUCCUCCUUCCCAGGCCACUGGGCCAGAGUGUCCAUCCUUGCUGACAGGAAAUUCAUCUUCAUUUUUCCAGCUUAAUUUCUCAAGCACAUACAUUCCUUCUCGUUCUGGGGAGUAGCAUGGCCUGACCCUGCAAUGGUGCUACGCCUUAGCACCCCGCCCCCAGGUGAAACAGUUCCUGACUUAGCUUUUCCAAAGCUUGCUGCCCAGCUCCUUGGACCCGAGGCACAAGAAAGAGCACUCUCCUGCCAGCAGGUAGCAAAGGAGGACAGACAUGGGCUUUGCCGGGAGUCUUCAGGUACCUUGAAGAAGCUCUAUGGAAGGCCCCGAAACUCUGCACAGACCCCUGAGUCCUGCUCUUUCUUCCCAGCGGCUCCAGCGGCCCGGUCCCCUCAGCCAAGCCAGUCACCAGCAUCCAAAGCGCUCCCCUCCCGCCUUUCCUUCUUUCUCUUUUUACGGAUCUCUCUCCAUCUACACAGGCGCAUAUGCACAAUCACUUCAGGCCUUAUCUGGAGCUGUCUCUGACAGAACUCUCCUUGUGAUUGGCAGGUUGGCUCCUGCGUCAGACAGGACACUCCGGGCUGCAUCCUCUGCCUGGAGAGUGAGGCCACAAGAGAGCAGAGACGGGGCUCUGCCUGCCCACAGCACUGGAGAGGACUCACCGCCAGCCGUGCCCUGGAGCUUCCCUGCUGCUCAGGCUCGCACAGAUGUGGGAGUCUAGGGUGCUGUGGGGCCCUGGCUUUGUCCACACCACCCCUAUCUGAUGUUGGACUAAGAGGAGAGAGUGGAACACCCCCAGAGGCACUGAGGCAUUCCCAUGGGGUUCAUAAAGAUAACCCAAACCUUUUUCCAGUGGGAAUAAAUGUCCGUGGCCUUUA